RNAcentral lists this ribosomal RNA (214 nucleotides) under Proshizonotus sp. D2063. Its description in RNAcentral is "partial 28S ribosomal RNA". It matches the Rfam family "Eukaryotic large subunit ribosomal RNA", at positions 967 to 1163 of the family's 3401-position model. Lineage: Eukaryota; Metazoa; Arthropoda; Insecta; Hymenoptera; Lyciscidae. The record is from RNAcentral.
UUUCCCUCAGGAUAGCUGGCACUCGCUUGAGCGAGUCUCAUCUGGUAAAGCGAAUGAUUAGAGGCCUUGGGGCCGAAACGACCUCAACCUAUUCUCAAACUUUAAAUGGGUGAGAUCUCUGGCUUGCUUGAACGUUGAAGCCGCGAGAUAUUCUUUGCAAUGGAUCAGAGUGCCAAGUGGGCCAAUUUUGGUAAGCAGAACUGGCGCUGUGGGA